Molecule: ribosomal RNA, 426 nt
Filed under: uncultured bacterium
Lineage: Bacteria
Description: partial 16S ribosomal RNA
Rfam family: Bacterial small subunit ribosomal RNA
Source: RNAcentral
GUGAGGAAUUUUCCGCAAUGGGCGAAAGCCUGACGGAGCAAUGCCGCGUGAAGGAUGAAGGCCUAUGGGUUGUAAACUUCUUUUCUCAGAAAAGAAUUAUGACGGUAUCUGAGGAAUAAGCAUCGGCUAACUCUGUGCCAGCAGCCGCGGUACGACAGAGGAUGCAAGCGUUAUCCGGAAUGAUUGGGCGUAAAGCGUCUGUAGGUUGUUUAAAAAGUAUUCUGUCAAAGAUUAGGGCUUAACCCUAGAUAGGCAGAAUAAACUUUUAAGCUAGAGUGUGGUAGAGGCAGAGGGAAUUCCCGGUGGAGCGGUGAAAUGCGUAGAUAUCGGGAGGAACACCAAAGGCGAAGGCACUCUGCUGGGCCAAUACUAACACUGAGAGACGAAAGCGAGGGGAGCAAAUGGGAUUAGAAACCCGUGUAGUCC